UGUGACGGAGAUCAUGCGGUGCCGGACACAA
This 31-nucleotide non-coding RNA is filed under the name Mus musculus (house mouse). The record is from RNAcentral. Lineage: Eukaryota; Metazoa; Chordata; Mammalia; Rodentia; Muridae.